This 513-nucleotide ribosomal RNA is filed under the name uncultured bacterium. RNAcentral's name for it is "bacterial SSU rRNA". It matches the Rfam family "Bacterial small subunit ribosomal RNA", at positions 8 to 518 of the family's 1533-position model. The record is from RNAcentral.
AGAGUUUGAUUAUGGCUCAGGAUGAACGCUAGCGGCAGGCUUAACACAUGCAAGUCGAGGGGCAGCGCGGGUAGCAAUAUCUGGCGGCGACCGGCGAAAGGGUGAGUAACGCGUGAGCAACGUGCCCGUCUGAGGGGGAUAGUCAUUGGAAACGAUGCGUAAUACCCCGUAACAACAGUCACCGCAUGGUGGGUGUUUGAAAGAUUUAUUGCAGACGGAUCGGCUCGCGUACCAUUAGCUAGUUGGCGGGUAACGGCCCACCAAGGCAACGAUGGUUAGGGGUUCUGAGAGGAAGGUCCCCCACAUUGGAACUGAGACACGGUCCAGACUCCUACGGGAGGCAGCAGUGAGGAAUAUUGGACAAUGGCCGGGAGGCUGAUCCAGCCAUGCCGCGUGCGGGAAGACGGCCCUAUGGGUUGUAAACCGCUUUUGUCGGGGAGCAAUAAGUAGUACGCGUACUACGAUGAGAGUACCUGGCGAAUAAGCAUCGGCUAACUCCGUGCCAGCCGCCGC